This 65-nucleotide transfer RNA is filed under the name Anastatus formosanus. Its description in RNAcentral is "tRNA-Gly". The record is from RNAcentral. Lineage: Eukaryota; Metazoa; Arthropoda; Insecta; Hymenoptera; Eupelmidae.
UUUUAUAUAGUAUAAGUUAUUACUUUUAAUUUCCAAUUAAAAAAUUUAUUAAUAUAAUGUAAAAA